UGGGGAAUAUUGCACAAUGGGCGCAAGCCUGAUGCAGCAACGCCGCGUGAGGGAUGACGGCCUUCGGGUUGUAAACCUCUUUUAGUAGGGAAGAAGCGAAAGUGACGGUACCUGCAGAAAAAGCACCGGCUAACUACGUGCCAGCAGCCGCGGUAAUACGUAGGGUGCGAGCGUUGUCCGGAAUUAUUGGGCGUAAAGAGCUCGUAGGCGGUCUGUCGCGUCUGCUGUGAAAACCCCGAGGCUCAACCUCGGGCCUGCAGUGGGUACGGGCAGACUAGAGUGCGGUAGGGGAGAAUGGAAUUCCUGGUGUAGCGGUGGAAUGCGCAGAUAUCAGGAGGAACACCGAUGGCGAAGGCAGUUCUCUGGGCCGUAACUGACGCUGAGGAGCGAAAGCGUGGGGAGCGAACAGGAUUAGAUACCCUGGUAGUCCACGCCGUAAACGUUGGGCGCUAGAUGUGGGGACCAUUCCACGGUUUCCGUGUCGCAGCUAACGCAUU
Molecule: ribosomal RNA, 497 nt
Filed under: uncultured bacterium
Lineage: Bacteria
Description: partial 16S ribosomal RNA
Rfam family: Bacterial small subunit ribosomal RNA
Source: RNAcentral